CGUACCUUUGUGGGGAUUCUUGAUGCCACUGUCAAAAAUCAGCUGACUGUAUAUGUGAAUUGCUGAAAGAGUUGAAGAGGUGGAAAAAUAUACUAAAACCAGCGGUUUCUCAUUACCUCUACCCUAAUAUCGUCUUUCAAGCCACCAUCAACUUCCACAUGGACUAUUGCAAUAACCUUCUAAUAUGCUUGCCCCAAUCCAAACCUACCUCACAUUGGCCAAAAUCACAACUGGACUAGACAGAAUCA
RNAcentral lists this long non-coding RNA (248 nucleotides) under Callithrix jacchus (white-tufted-ear marmoset). RNAcentral's name for it is "lncRNA (ENSCJAG00000073483.1)". Lineage: Eukaryota; Metazoa; Chordata; Mammalia; Primates; Cebidae. The record is from RNAcentral.